UUGCCUACGGGCGGCAGCAGUGGGGAAUCUUGCGCAAUGGGCGAAAGCCUGACGCAGCAACGCCGCGUGCGGGAAGAAGGCCUUCGGGUUGUAAACCGCUUUCAGAAGGAACGAAACUGACGGUACUUUCAGAAGAAGGUGCGGCCAACUACGUGCCAGCAGCCGCGGUGACACGUAGGCACCAAGCGUUGUCCGGAUUUAUUGGGCGUAAAGAGCUCGUAGGCGGUUCGGUAAGUCGGGUGUGAAAACUUUGGGCUCAACCCAAAGCGUGCACUUGAUACUGCCGUGACUAGAGUUCGGUAGGGGAGUGGGGAAUUCCUAGUGUAGCGGUGAAAUGCGCAGAUAUUAGGAGGAACACCGGUGGCGAAGGCGCCACUCUGGGCCGAAACUGACGCUGAGGAGCGAAAGCGUGGGUAGCAAACAGGAUUAGAUACCCGAGUAGUCGA
RNAcentral lists this ribosomal RNA (446 nucleotides) under uncultured bacterium. Its description in RNAcentral is "bacterial SSU rRNA". It matches the Rfam family "Bacterial small subunit ribosomal RNA", at positions 335 to 797 of the family's 1533-position model. The record is from RNAcentral.